UUACAGGCGUGAGCCACCACGCCUGGCCUGGGAAAAUGAAGAUACCAAAGUUCAGAGAUGAUUAGGAAUUUUCCAAGAUCUCACAGCUCAGAAGUGACGGAGCCAGACUUUAAACCCAGGCAAACUGCUUCCGGGUCCCUGCUCUUCCUGCUCCGGCUGUAGCGUGAGACAUGAUGUUUGGAGCUGCAGCAGUCAUCUUGCAACCAUGAGGCAACAAGCUAAGGACAAAAAGCCCACAUAGCCAAGGAUGGUAAAGAUGGAAGAGGGAAAGUGCUUGGGUCUUUGUCAACAUCCCUGCGCAUCUGACUAAGCUGCAACCACUUCUCUCCAGACGUGUGGCGAUGCCAGAGCAUUCUACUUUCUCAUCGCUUGAGCACUGUUGUUAGGUUGUCUGUUACAUGUUGCCCAACGCGUCCUAACUGAGGGAAGUGCCUGCUAUGUGCCAAGCACACAUCUGCCUCAUAGGAUCAUAGCCAUUUGUCCAUACUUCAUCUUCCCUUUUAGACUCUGGAAUCCUAAAGGUGGAGAUUAUGUCUGGGUCACAUCCCAGUCAUCACAUGGGGAUGGGACAGUGUCCCAUAGUGAAACCCAAUCACCAUGACUUUGACAAUAUGAAGGAAGGAAGGAAGGA
RNAcentral lists this long non-coding RNA (631 nucleotides) under Homo sapiens (human). RNAcentral's name for it is "HSALNT0291105". Lineage: Eukaryota; Metazoa; Chordata; Mammalia; Primates; Hominidae. The record is from RNAcentral.